RNAcentral lists this ribosomal RNA (249 nucleotides) under uncultured bacterium. Its description in RNAcentral is "partial 16S ribosomal RNA". It matches the Rfam family "Bacterial small subunit ribosomal RNA", at positions 57 to 305 of the family's 1533-position model. The record is from RNAcentral.
GCAAGUCGAGGGGUAACAUUGGAGCUUGCUUCAGAUGACGACCGGCGCACGGGUGCGUAACGCGUAUAGAAUCUACCUUAAACUAAGGGAUAGCCUUUGGAAACGAAGAUUAAUACCUUAUAGUAUGUUGUAUUGGCAUCAAUAUAGCAUUAAAGAUUACGGUUUGAGAUGACUAUGCGUUCUAUUAGCUAGAUGGAGUGGUAACGGCACCCCAUGGCGACGAUAGAUAGGGGCCCUGAGAGGGGGAUC